GUUAUUCUCAUUUAAACAAAAGCAAAUGACCAAGAACCAUCUCUUGAGCUUGAGGGGAUUGAGGGAUUUGAAGCAAACCCAGAUCUCAUGUAGGAAUGUCUUGUUGGGCUCUUUCCCCUUAACAUAUAUGACUAAUUAUAAGUGAGAUUUGGAGUUAGGGCUGGUAACAAGAGGUAUAAGCAGACUACGUGCCCAAUUGUUAACUAAGUUUAAGUCAUAGAUGGUACACUGAAGUGGAAGAGUCCCUAGAAACUACCUACCUACCAGUUAGAUGAGUAUCUUCUACUAAUAAUUUUAUUCUAUUACAAUCGCUGACUCUAUUGUUUUGCUUUUGCAUCAUUUGGCUUCCCAUUUUUCCAUAUUCAGAAUAAAAUUUACUUCUGAAAGUCCUAGCUAUCCCUACUACCU
Molecule: long non-coding RNA, 408 nt
Filed under: Bos taurus (domestic cattle)
Lineage: Eukaryota; Metazoa; Chordata; Mammalia; Artiodactyla; Bovidae
Description: long non-coding RNA NONBTAT000804
Source: RNAcentral